GACGAACGCUGGCGGUGUGCUUAACAUAUGCAAGUCGAACGGAAAGGCCCUGCUUUUGUGGGGUGCUCGAGUGGCGAACGGGUGAGUAACACGUGAGUAACCUGCCCUUGACUUUGGGAUAACUUCAGGAAACUGGGGCUAAUACCGGAUAGGAGCUCCUGCUGCAUGGUGGGGGUUGGAAAGUUUCGGCGGUUGGGGAUGGACUCGCGGCUUAUCAGCUUGUUGGUGGGGUAGUGGCUUACCAAGGCUUUGACGGGUAGCCGGCCUGAGAGGGUGACCGGCCACAUUGGGACUGAGAUACGGCCCAGACUCCUACGGGAGGCAGCAGUGGGGAAUAUUGCACAAUGGGCGGAAGCCUGAUGCAGCAACGCCGCGUGCGGGAUGACGGCCUUCGGGUUGUAAACCGCUUUCGCCUGUGACGAAGCGUGAGUGACGGUAAUGGGGAAAGAAGCACCGGCUAACUACGU
RNAcentral lists this ribosomal RNA (467 nucleotides) under uncultured bacterium. Its description in RNAcentral is "partial 16S ribosomal RNA". It matches the Rfam family "Bacterial small subunit ribosomal RNA", at positions 28 to 506 of the family's 1533-position model. The record is from RNAcentral.